GUGGGGAAUAUUGGACAAUGGGCGAAAGCCUGAUCCAGCCAUGCCGCGUGUGUGAAGAAGGUCUUCGGAUUGUAAAGCACUUUAAGUUGGGAGGAAGGGCAGUAAGCUAAUACCUUGCUGUUUUGACGUUACCGACAGAAUAAGCACCGGCUAACUUCGUGCCAGCAGCCGCGGUAAUACGAAGGGUGCAAGCGUUAAUCGGAAUUACUGGGCGUAAAGCGCGCGUAGGUGGUUCAGCAAGUUGGAGGUGAAAUCCCCGGGCUCAACCUGGGAACUGCCUCCAAAACUACUGAGCUAGAGUACGGUAGAGGGUAGUGGAAUUUCCUGUGUAGCGGUGAAAUGCGUAGAUAUAGGAAGGAACACCAGUGGCGAAGGCGACUACCUGGACUGAUACUGACACUGAGGUGCGAAAGCGUGGGGAACAAACAGGAUUAGAAACCCCGGUAGUCC
This 450-nucleotide ribosomal RNA is filed under the name uncultured bacterium. RNAcentral's name for it is "bacterial SSU rRNA". It matches the Rfam family "Bacterial small subunit ribosomal RNA", at positions 354 to 796 of the family's 1533-position model. The record is from RNAcentral.